GGGGCUAUAGCUCAGUGGCAGAGCACUUGCCUAGCAUGUAUGAGGCAUUAGGUUCAAACCUCAGCACCA
Molecule: transfer RNA, 69 nt
Filed under: Marmota monax (woodchuck)
Lineage: Eukaryota; Metazoa; Chordata; Mammalia; Rodentia; Sciuridae
Rfam family: tRNA
About the family: Transfer RNA (tRNA) molecules are approximately 80 nucleotides in length. Their secondary structure includes four short double-helical elements and three loops (D, anti-codon, and T loops). Further hydrogen bonds mediate the characteristic L-shaped molecular structure. tRNAs have two regions of fundamental functional importance: the anti-codon, which is responsible for specific mRNA codon recognition, and the 3' end, to which the tRNAs corresponding amino acid is attached (by aminoacyl-tRNA synthetases). tRNAs cope with the degeneracy of the genetic code in two manners: having more than one tRNA (with a specific anti-codon) for a particular amino acid; and 'wobble' base-pairing, i.e. permitting non-standard base-pairing at the 3rd anti-codon position.
Source: Rfam by way of RNAcentral